GGUAGAGAAAUAAUGAGAAACUACAAAGUGUCAUAGUCGAUAGUUACUUGAAGAAAACGCAAAAAGUGGGAAGAAUCUAAUUACUUAGGCAACAAAACUGUAUAUAAGAACAUAUGGAGAGAAAUUAAUUAAGCUAACUAGAAUAUCGCCGAGAGAUGGAUCAUGAUCUUGGUCCUCUUACAGCAAUAAAACAAGAGGCAGCAGCCACAAUGACAGUCGUAGUUAUGAAGCUCAAGUCAUCGAAUAUGGCCGAGAAUCUCAUCUCCUGCAGUUCCCAUAGUGUCGAUAUGCAUUGCUUCACUCCAUCAAUAACCGCCAUCAAAUACCCCAUCUUUAAGUGGAUAGUAUUAAUAUAGAUGAACUUUAUUCGAUUCUCAGCUUGUUAAAAGAUGGAGCUGAUCUAUGGAUUAUUAGAAAACACUGGCUUACGUAUAUAGACUUUAUUCCUACAUUUUCU
Molecule: long non-coding RNA, 457 nt
Filed under: Nicotiana benthamiana
Lineage: Eukaryota; Viridiplantae; Streptophyta; Magnoliopsida; Solanales; Solanaceae
Description: long non-coding RNA (NBEN_LNC014333)
Source: RNAcentral